AAGUCAUUUGAUGGAUGGCUUGGCUCGGAAGCCGAAGAAGGGCGUGGCCAGCUGCGAAAAGCUCGGGCGAGGCGUAUGCAACCCUUGAACCCGAGAUUCCCGAAUGGGACUUCCCGCCCUUUAUUUAAGGGCAAUCCGAGAGGAUUGGGAACGCGGGGAAUUGAAACAUCUUAGUACCCGCAGGAGAAGAAAGAAAAAAGAUCGACGUAGAUUUUAUCUACGUCAGUCUGUUUCGAUGCCGUGAGUAAAGGCGAUCGAAAGCGGCAAAGGGUAAACCGAAUGCAAAGAUGUGGUGUAUGGGCCCCAGUUCAGGAUAAAUCUGGAGAAGCCGAAAUUCUCUGGAACGGGAUACCGUAGAGGGUGAUAGUCCCGUAGGUAUAAUCUGGAUUUAUUCUUGGGUAUCCCAAAGUACCAUGGGUCGGAUAUCCCGUGGGAAUAUGGGAGGCAUCACCUCCCAACCCUAAAUACUCUCCGAGACCGAUAGCAAAUUAGUACCGUGAGGGAAAGCUGAAAAGUACCCCUGACAGGGGGUGAAAAGAACCUGAAAUCAAAUGACGAUAAGUAGUCGCGGCUUGAAAGGGUCGAGUCUUGCUUAAACAAAAUAUCGCGAGAUAUUAGUCAGGCAAGAGGACCAGAGUUGCGGCGUCCGUAUUGAAUCACGGGGCAGGGAGUUUAUGGUAGUGGUGAGAGUAAGAGGAUUACCCUCGUACUCAUAGGGAAACCAAGUACCCGCAGUCUUUUUGGACGAGGGGUCGGGUGUGAAAGUGCCUAAAAUCACUGCCAUAAGACUCGAAACCGGUCGAUCUAAUCUGGGGCAGGGUGAAAUCUCUCAACAGAGGGAUGGAGGCCCGAAAGGAUACUAACGUUCAACUUGUUCCUAUGACCUCAGAUUAGGGGUGAAAAGCUAAUCAAGACCGGAAACAGCAGGUUCCUCCCGAAGUGAGCCGUAGUUCAGCCUGAAGGGAGGUAGCUGAUAGGGUAGAGCACUGAUUGGGUGUUUAGGGGGAGAAAUCCCUCGGCAUCCUGUCAAACUCCGAACCUAUUAGCACUGUAGAUCUUCAGAGUGAGGUAGCGGGGUAAGCUCGCUCACCGAGAGGGAAUCAACCCAGACCAAAGUUAAGGUCCCUAAGUGUUGACUAAGUAGCAAAGGUGUCCUUGUCCUAAAACAGCGGGGAGAUAGGCUUAGAAGUAGCCAUUCUUUAAAGAGUGUGUAACAGCUCACCCGUCUAGGUCAAGGGCCCUGAAAAUGGACGGGAAUCAAGUCAACCACCGAUACUUUGGAGCUCGAAAGAGUCUAGUAGGGAGGUGCUCUGAUAGGGUAGAAGUUGGGCCGUAAGGUCCAGUGGACCUGUUAGAGAUAUAGAUCCUGCCAGUAGUAGCAGCAAAGCAGGGUGAGAAUCCCUGUCACCGAAAGGGCUAGGGUUCCUCAGCAAUGUUCGUCAGCUGAGGGUUAGUCGAUCCUAAGAGCUGUCCUAAUUAGAGCAGCCCGAAAGGGAAGCAGGUUAAUAUUCCUGCACCACAAAGAUACAUGCGGUAACGCAAGUCCAAUUUCAGACAGUUCGGGGUAAGUCAAGUAACAUCGUCGUGUUAUCUAAUUGUAUAAGCCAGCGGAGUCGUGUAAUACGGAGAAACUGGUGAAAGCAAGCAUGGCCUGACAUUUUUGUCGGGUUUGACCGAUCUCUGGACUCUGUGAAAAUGAAAUUGGAAUGAAUUCUUUGUGUUCGUACCCAGAACUGACACAGGUGCCCCUAGGUGAGAAGCCUAAGGUGUGUUGGGGUACCCCAGUUGAGGGAAUUCGGCAAAUUGGCUCCGUAACUUUGGGAUAAGGAGUGCGCACUGUCCUGCAAGGGACAGUGCGUCGCAGUGACCAAGAGACUCCGUCUGUUUAAUAAAAACAUAGCAAACUGCUAGACCGUAAGGUUUUGUACAGUUUGUGAGGCCUGCCCAGUGUCGGUAUGUUAAACCUCUGUUCAAGGGGGCUAAGCACCGAUAAACGGCGGGAGUAACUAUAACUCUCUUAAGGUAGCGUAAUACCUUGCCGCUUAAUUGGCGGCUUGCAUGAAUGGCAGAACGAGAGU
Molecule: ribosomal RNA, 2078 nt
Filed under: Thermococci archaeon
Lineage: Archaea; Methanobacteriati; Methanobacteriota; Thermococci
Description: bacterial LSU rRNA
Rfam family: Archaeal large subunit ribosomal RNA
Source: RNAcentral